AGGACGAACGCUGGCGGCGUGCUUAACACAUGCAAGUCGAGCGGAAAGGCCCUUCGGGGUACUCGAGCGGCGAACGGGUGAGUAACACGUGAGCAACCUGCCCUUAGCUCCGGGAUAGCUCCGGGAAACCGGAAUUAAUACCGGAUAUGACCUAGGCCGACAUCGGCUGUGGUGGAAAGUUUUUCGGCUGGGGAUGGACUCGCGGCCUAUCAGCUUGUUGGUGGGGUAAUGGCCUACCAAGGCGACGACGGGUAGCCGGCCUGAGAGGGCGACCGGCCACACUGGGACUGAGACACGGCCCAGACUCCUACGGGAGGCAGCAGUGGGGAAUCUUGCGCAAUGGGCGAAAGCCUGACGCAGCGACGCCGCGUGGGGGAUGAAGGCCUUCGGGUUGUAAACCCUUUCAGCAGGGACGAAGCGAAAGUGACGGUACCUGCAGAAGAAGCGCCGGCUAACUACGCGCCAGCAGCCGC
This 473-nucleotide ribosomal RNA is filed under the name uncultured bacterium. RNAcentral's name for it is "SSU rRNA". It matches the Rfam family "Bacterial small subunit ribosomal RNA", at positions 26 to 518 of the family's 1533-position model. The record is from RNAcentral.